CAUAGCUGCUGCAGCAGGACAACCCCCUGACCCUGGCAUGGAGUGGGGCAAGGGGCCCAGACUCAGAGACUUCCUGAACGGGAGCCUGGCCACCUGGGCCCUGGGACUGGCGGGACUGGUGGGGGAGGUGGAGGAGCCCGUGGGAGAGGAAGAGGAGGAAGCAGAGGAGGAGGAGGAGGAAAAGGGGUCCCUCUGCCCGGAGAAGAGGUUUCUUCUGCUCAGCAAUGGGGCUCUGCUCCUCCGGGUGCUGGGCAUCAUCUCCCCCAGUUCCCGAGGGGGACCUCGGAUGGUUAGAGGCCAAGAGAGACCAGCUGCCUGGCGAGUAUGGAACCUGAACCACCUGUGGAGCCGACUGAGGGACUUUUACCAGGAGGAGCUGCAGCUGCUGAUCCUGUCGCCACCUCCAGACCUCCAGACGCUGGGGUUUGACCCCUUCUCAGAGAAGGCGGCGGAGGAGCUGCAAGGCCUCCUCCGGCUGUUGCUGGGGGCGUCGGUGCAGUGCGAACACCGGGAACUCUUCAUCCGCCACAUUCAGGGCCUCAGCCUCGAGGUCCAGAGCGAGCUGGCCGCUGCUAUCCAGGAGGUGACCCAACCUGGAGCUGGUGUGGUACUUGCUCUGUCUGGGCUUGAGCCUCGGGAGCUGGCGCCUCCGGAGUUGGAAAUGCUGAUGGGGGCGCUGUCGAGGCUGGCCCGGGAGCGUGACCUCGGGGCCCAGAGGUUGGCGGAAUUGCUGCUGGAGCGCGAGCGGGCCCCCUUGCUGCCUGACGUUCCUGCGAAGGCUCCUGUGGAGGGGUCCUCGCACCAUCUGGCGCUGCAACUGGCCAAUGCCAAGGCCCAGCUGCGGCGCCUGCGGCAAGAGCUGGAGGAGAAGGCCGAAGAGCUGCUGGACUCCCAGGAGGAGGUGCAGGGCUUGGAGGCCGAAAUUCGAAGGCUCCGCCAGGAGGCCCAGGCGCUGUCGGGACAGGCCAAGCGGGCGGAGCUGUACCGCGAGGAGGCAGAGGCGCUGCGGGAGCGCGUGGCCCGCCUGCCCCGCCUGCAGGAGGAGCUGCGGCGCUGCCGCGAACGAUUGCAGGCGGCCGAGGCCUGCCUGGGCCAGCUGGAGGAGGCACGGGUGCUCUCAGGGGCCCUGGAGGCUUCGAAGGCGCUGCUGGAAGAGCACCUGGAGGCCGCCAGAGACCGCUGCGCGCGGCUGCACCAGACGCAGCGGGAGAACCUGCUGCUGCACACGCGGCUGGGCGAGGCCCUGGCGGAGGUGGACUCCUUGCGACAUCAGGUGGACCAGCUGUCGGGGGAGAACGUGGAGCUGGAGCUGGAGCUUCAGAGGAGGCUGGAACCACUCCCUGGGUCCCCUGUGGAUGCACCCCUGCUAGGAGUGGCCCCCUCUCUGCAAGAUGAAGUGAGGGAGGUUGAGGCUGAGCAGCUUCGGGCCCUCGAGAGGGAGAAUCGGGAGCUUCGAAGCUUGCUUCAGGUGCUGCAGGGGCAGAUAGGUGACCAGCGCCCCCUGUUGGAGGAGCAGAGCCAGGACUCCGAGCUUCCUGUGCUGGAUGGGGCUCCCUGGACUCCCGCAGCCUCAGACCCUAGCUCCCAGGGUUUGGUGUGCCAGGUUGGGCAUCAAGGUCCCCAGCUGGCUCCCACGACAUCAGACUCAGCUCUCAAGGGAUCAGCUGAGUGUCUUCAGGCAUCUGAUUCAGACCUAGAAGCGACAGCGAAGCCCCUGCUGGUGGCUGCCAUGGCUCCCCAGACCUCAGACUUGACUGCCCAAGAGUCAGACCCUACUGUGGAGACACAGGGGUCCUUGGAGAAGGAUGACCGUGGAGUGCCUCUCCGGAGCCCCAUUUCUGCAACCCCUCAGGGUCCAGCGAUCGAAAGUGACACACAACAGUUGGUGGAAGGAGAGACUGGGGAGAAAGGGGCUCCCCAAGGUGGGUCAGGGUCUGAGGCCCAGGAUCUGCGACAGGAGGACCCUGAACCAACACGGGGAUCCUCAGAGCUCAACGUCUGUGUGCUGCUAGAGGAGCUGGAGACCCUGGGCAAAAGGUUGGACCUGUCCAAGCCACCAACAGAGAACGGGGCACGUGAACAGAGGCUGGAGGGAGCGGUCAGGGAAUCAGCUCCUCAAAAACCAGAGCAGAAGUUGGACGGGGCUCCUGAUGUCCAGGCCUGGGAGGGGCUGAUCCCAGGGGAGGUCCCGGCCAGUGGUAUCCCAGAGCAGGAGGCCCUCAGGGAGGAGGUGGUGCGCCUGAGGAUAGAGGUCGCUGCCCUUAGGGCUGAGCUGGAGGCCCAGACCCGCAGGCUGGAGGCCCGGGGCUUGGAGGCUGCCCGGCUCUCUGAGGAGCUGGCCCAAGCACGGAGGGCCGAAGCUGAGGCCCACCGGGAGGCAGAGGCCCAGGCCCAGGAGCAAGCCCGGCUGCGGGAGGCAGUGGAGACAGCGGGCCGGGAGCUGGAGGCUGCAUCGCGGGAGCGGGAGGCUCUGGCAGAGGCGCUGGGGGCAGCGGGCCGAGAGCGGAGGCAGUGGGAGCGUGAGGGCCCCAGGCUGCGGGCCAGGGCGGAGGCUGCUGAAGAGCGGAUGCAGGUGCUGGAGAGCCAGGGCCAAGGCUGCCUGGAGGAAGUGGAGAGGGAGCGCCAGGAGAAGCAAGCCCUCCGUGAGGAGCUGGAGAAGGCCAUGGCGCGGGGCCGGGAGCUGGGCGCCCGGCUGGAGCACUUGCAGCAGGACCUGGAGCGCGCGGCGCUGGAGCGCCAGGAGUUUCUCCAGGAACAGGAGAACCAGCAGCAGAGGUACCGAGGCCUGGAGCAGCGACUGGAAGCCGAGCUGCAGGCGGCGGCCACCAGCAAGGAGGAAGCACUGAUGGAGCUCAAGAACAGGGCCCUGCAGCUGGAGGAGGAGCUGUUCCAGCUGCGCCAGGGCCCUGGGGGGCUGGGGCCCGAGGGGCAUGAGCUUCAGGUCACGGGGACCCAGAGCGGGCGGCUCAUCGAGGUGGAACGCAGCAAUGCAACCUUGGCAGCAGAGAAGGUGGCUCUGCAGGGGCAGCUACAGCACCUGGAGGGGCAGCUGGGAAACCUGCAGGGCCAGGCCCAGGAGCUGCUGCUGCAGAGUCAGCGGGCGCAGGAGCACAGCAGCCGCCUGCAGGCCGAGAAGUCAGUGCUGGAGAUGCAGGGCCAGGAGCUGCACAGGAAGCUGGGGGUGCUGGAGGAGGAGGUGAAGGUCGCGCGGCGCUCCCAGGAGGAGACCCGCGGGCAGCAGCAGGCUCUGCUGCGGGACCAUGAGGCCCUGGCGCAGCUGCAGCGGCGGCAGGAGACUGAGCUGGAGGGCUUGCUGGCACGGCACCGCGACCUCAAGGCCAACAUGCGGGCGCUGGAGCUGGCCCACCGGGAGCUGCAGGGCCGGCAUGAGCAGCUGCAGGCCCAGAGGGCCAGUGUGGAGGCGCAGGAGGUGGCCCUGCUGGCAGAGCGCGAUCGCCUCAUGCAGGACGGACAUCGACAGCGGGGCCUGGAGGAAGAGCUGCGGAGGCUGCAGAGUGAGCACGAGAGAGCCCAGAUGCUGCUGGCGGAGGUGUCUCGGGAGCGAGGGGAGCUGCAGGGCGAGCGUGGGGAGCUGCGGGGUCGGCUGGCCCGGCUGGAGCUGGAGCGGGCACAGCUGGAGAUGCAGAGCCAGCAGCUGCGCGAGUCCAACCAGCAGCUGGACCUGAGCGCUUGCCGGCUGACCACGCAGUGCGAGCUGCUGACCGAGCUCCGGAGUGCCCAGGAGGAGGAGAACCGGCAGCUCCUGGCCGAGGUGCAGGCCCUGAGCCGGGAGAACAGGGAGCUCCUGGAGCGCAGCCUGGAGAGCCGGGACCACCUGCACCGAGAGCAGCGAGAGUACCUGGACCAGCUUAAUGCCCUGCGCCGUGAGAAGCAGAAGCUGGUGGAGAAGAUCAUGGACCAGUACCGCGUGCUAGAGCCUGGGCCCCUGCCCCGGACCAAGAAGGGCAGCUGGCUGGCAGACAAGGUGAAGAGGCUGAUGCGGCCCCGGAGGGAGGGGGUCCCCCAUGGGGGGCCACGCCUGGGGGCCGAUGGGGCUGGCAGCACCGAGAGCCUGGGGGGCCCCCCGGAGACGGAGCUUCCCGAGGGCAGGGAGGCAGAUGGGACAGGGUCCCCUUCACCAGCACCCAUGCGCCGGGCCCAGAGCUCCCUCUGCCUGCGCGACGAGACUCUGGCAGGGGGGCAGCGGCGGAAGCUCAGCUCACGGUUCCCUGUGGGGCGAAGCUCUGAGUCAUUCAGCCCAGGGGACACCCCCCGGCAGCGAUUCCGCCAGCGCCGCCCAGGGCCCCUGGGGGCACCCAGCGCCCGCAGGAAAGGACCCGUUGUGGAAUGGGAUGGCUCCAAUAAGACCCUCCAGGAACAUGAAGCAGAUGCCAACCGAGAGGCAUGGCGUCAGUGUAAACAGUCGCCAGUGAGACAUUUGACGCUGGUUUUUCAUACCAAGUCUUUGAAGUCCAGUGGGCCUUUCCCUCGCAAGCACGUGGAGUUCAGUCCAAGCCCCGGAAGGGAGCGUCAGGAGGCGACAGUGCUCGGGGAAGAGAGCAGGGCGGCGGGGGUACGGGGAGUGCUCGUGGAGUAGGCCUGAGACAGGAGGGGACAGCGUGUCUGGAGAAUAGCAGUCCAGCCAGAGCACAGCUUGAAGAAAGGCCUUGAGGAUCCGGAGCCGGAGAAACGUCCCCUCACCCCUUCCCUCAGCCAGUGACACCACAGGGACAGGCAGCUGGCGAGAGCAGUCUGCUCGCCGUUGGAGUGUCAGUGGGGUCGUUGGGCAGCCAAAGAGCUCCGGGAGCCCGGGCACCCCAGCACAGUCUUUGCACAAAGAAGCCUGGGCCCCCGAGUCCCCCACGGCCUUGAGAUGGAGAUGGAACAAGCUCGUGGAUAGUGGGGAUGGCCCAGGAGUGUUGCCCGGCUCUACCCUGCGGUCAUCGCUGAGGAGGCGGUCUCUGGGGGAUUCCCCAGCUGAAGGGGGCUGUCAGGAGUGGGCCAGAGAGCCCCCUACCCGGUCCAGACGGGGAGCCAAGGCCCACUCCCCGGGGACCGUGACCUGGGCUGACCUCUGAGCCUUAGUUGGAGGGACCUGAGAAUAAAGCUGGGCUGUGGCCAUCCGAAUCUGUGCUGUCUACUGGCUGCAUCUGCGAGCUGAGGUCCCAGUAACACUUCAGGGCCAGUCCUGAUUGGUGGGGAUCGGUGGCCAGAUGGCCCUGCAGGGGCAGGGCAGCAAAGGGCAUUGGGAUG
Molecule: RNA transcript, 5253 nt
Organism: Sciurus carolinensis (gray squirrel)
Lineage: Eukaryota; Metazoa; Chordata; Mammalia; Rodentia; Sciuridae
Gene: Ccdc88b
Gene name: coiled-coil domain containing 88B
Exons: 28
Source: RefSeq, a predicted model, not a curated record